This 242-nucleotide ribosomal RNA is filed under the name uncultured bacterium. RNAcentral's name for it is "partial 16S ribosomal RNA". It matches the Rfam family "Bacterial small subunit ribosomal RNA", at positions 92 to 334 of the family's 1533-position model. The record is from RNAcentral.
CGACCGGCGCACGGGUGAGUAACGCGUAUCCAACCUGCCCACCACUUGGGGAUAACCUUGCGAAAGUAAGACUAAUACCCAAUGAUAUCUCUAGACGACAUCUGAAAGAGAUUAAAGAUUUAUCGGUGAUGGAUGGGGAUGCGUCUGAUUAGCUUGUUGGCGGGGUAACGGCCCACCAAGGCAACGAUCAGUAGGGGUUCUGAGAGGAAGGUCCCCCACAUUGGAACUGAGACACGGUCCAA